AGAGCGAACGCUGGCGGCAGGCUUAACACAUGCAAGUCGAGCGGGCGUAGCAAUACGUCAGCGGCAGACGGGUGAGUAACGCGUGGGAACAUACCUUUUGGUUCGGAACAACACAGGGAAACUUGUGCUAAUACCGGAUAAGCCCUUACGGGGAAAGAUUUAUCGCCGAAAGAUUGGCCCGCGUCUGAUUAGCUAGUUGGUGAGGUAACGGCUCACCAAGGCGACGAUCAGUAGCUGGUCUGAGAGGAUGAUCAGCCACAUUGGGACUGAGACACGGCCCAAACUCCUACGGGAGGCAGCAGUGGGAAUAUUGGACAAUGGGCGCAAGCCUGAUCCAGCCAUGCCGCGUGAGUGAUGAAGGCCCUAGGGUUGUAAAGCUCUUUUGUGCGGGAAGAUAAUGACGGUACCGCAAGAAUAAGCCCGGCUAACUCGUGCCAGCAGCCGC
RNAcentral lists this ribosomal RNA (445 nucleotides) under uncultured bacterium. RNAcentral's name for it is "SSU rRNA". It matches the Rfam family "Bacterial small subunit ribosomal RNA", at positions 26 to 518 of the family's 1533-position model. The record is from RNAcentral.